This 924-nucleotide ribosomal RNA is filed under the name Basidiomycota sp. EK59. RNAcentral describes it as "eukaryotic LSU rRNA". It matches the Rfam family "Eukaryotic large subunit ribosomal RNA", at positions 121 to 1063 of the family's 3401-position model. Lineage: Eukaryota; Fungi; Basidiomycota. The record is from RNAcentral.
UCUGGCACCUUCGGUGUCCGAGUUGUAAUCUCUAGAAGUGUUUUCCGCGUUGGACCGCACACAAGUCUGUUGGAAUACAGCGGCAUAGUGGUGAAACCCCCGUAUAUGGUGCGGACGCCCAGCGCUUUGUGAUACACUUUCAAUGAGUCGAGUUGUUUGGGAAUGCAGCUCAAAUUGGGUGGUAAAUUCCAUCUAAAGCUAAAUAUUGGCGAGAGACCGAUAGCGAACAAGUACCGUGAGGGAAAGAUGAAAAGCACUUUGGAAAGAGAGUUAACAGUACGUGAAAUUGUUGGAAGGGAAACGCUUGAAGUCAGACUUGCUUGCCGGAGCUUGCUUCGGUUUGCAGGCCAGCAUCAGUUUUCCGGGGUGGAUAAUGACGGUUUGAAGGUAGCAGUCUCGGCUGUGUUAUAGCUUUCCGUUGGAUACAUCCUGGGGGACUGAGGAACGCAGCGUGCUUUUUGCGAAAGACUCGUCUUUUUCACGCUUAGGAUGCUGGUGGAAUGGCUUUAAACGACCCGUCUUGAAACACGGACCAAGGAGUCUAACAUGCUCGCGAGUAUUUGGGUGUCAAACCCGGAUGCGCAAUGAAAGUGAAUGUAGGUGGGAACCGCAAGGUGCACCAUCGACCGAUCUGGAUUUUUUAAGAUGGAUUUGAGUAAGAGCGCGUAUGUUGGGACCCGAAAGAUGGUGAACUAUGCCUGAAUAGGGCGAAGCCAGAGGAAACUCUGGUGGAGGCUCGUAGCGGUUCUGACGUGCAAAUCGAUCGUCAAAUUUGGGUAUAGGGGCGAAAGACUAAUCGAACCAUCUAGUAGCUGGUUCCUGCCGAAGUUUCCCUCAGGAUAGCAGAAACUCACAUCAGUUCUAUGAGGUAAAGCGAAUGAUUAGAGGCCUUGGGGUUGAAACAACCUUAACCUAUUCUCAAAC